GAGCCUCUCAGCAUCGCAGCUGCCAGCCUAGAGGAGCACUGCUUUGCUAAUGCAGAUGUAACAAAUCCCACCAAACAAAACUCCCUGAACAGACGCCUUCACAAGUCAGGGCUCCGAGCUCUGCCUUUUGUUAUCACUUUGGCUACUUCCCUUGAGACUGUGUCCUUGGUCCUUUUCUUUUCUUUUCUUCUGUUUUUUUUCUUUUCUUUUAUUUUCCCUCCCUCCCUCCCCCACCUCUGUCUUUCUUUUUUUCUUUCUCUCCUUCCUUCCUUCCCUCCUUCCUUCCUUCCU
This 291-nucleotide long non-coding RNA is filed under the name Homo sapiens (human). RNAcentral describes it as "non-protein coding lnc-AGK-3:1". The record is from RNAcentral. Lineage: Eukaryota; Metazoa; Chordata; Mammalia; Primates; Hominidae.